Molecule: ribosomal RNA, 253 nt
Filed under: uncultured bacterium
Lineage: Bacteria
Description: partial 16S ribosomal RNA
Rfam family: Bacterial small subunit ribosomal RNA
Source: RNAcentral
UACAGAGGGGGCAAGCGUUGUUCGGAAUUACUGGGCGUAAAGGGCGCGUAGGCGGCCUGUUAAGUCGAACGUGAAAUCCCUGGGCUCAACCCAGGAACUGCGCCCGAUACUGGCAGGCUUGAAUCCGGGAGAGGGAUGUGGAAUUCCAGGUGUAGCGGUGAAAUGCGUAGAUAUCUGGAGGAACACCGGUGGCGAAGGCGGCAUCCUGGACCGGUAUUGACGCUGAGGCGCGAAAGCCAGGGGAGCAAACGGG